AUGUACAUUCUUACAACAUAACAUUAAUGCACUGUAUCCCAUAAGAACUCCGUAGUUAAGCACGCUCAGGCUAGAGUAGUACUGGGAUGUUAACUGCUAGAAAAGUUUUAGUGUUUUACAUG
Molecule: non-coding RNA, 122 nt
Organism: Picea glauca (white spruce)
Lineage: Eukaryota; Viridiplantae; Streptophyta; Pinopsida; Pinales; Pinaceae
Source: Rfam